Molecule: ribosomal RNA, 256 nt
Filed under: uncultured bacterium
Lineage: Bacteria
Description: partial 16S ribosomal RNA
Rfam family: Bacterial small subunit ribosomal RNA
Source: RNAcentral
UACGUAGGGUGCGAGCGUUAAUCGGAAUUACUGGGCGUAAAGUGUGCGCAGGCGGGCCGCGCAAGUCGAGUGUGAAAUCCCCGGGCUUAACUUGGGAAUUGCGCUCGAAACUACGUGGCUGGAGUGUGGCAGAGGAAGGUGGAAUUCCACGUGUAGCGGUGAAAUGCGUAGAGAUGAUGGAGGAACACCGAUGGCGAAGGCAGCCUUCUGGGCCAACACUGACGCUCAUGCACGAAAGCGUGGGGAGCAAACAGGA